Molecule: ribosomal RNA, 498 nt
Filed under: uncultured bacterium
Lineage: Bacteria
Description: partial 16S ribosomal RNA
Rfam family: Bacterial small subunit ribosomal RNA
Source: RNAcentral
GACGAACGCUGGCGGCGUGCCUAAUACAUGCAAGUCGAGCGGACGGUUGGGAUCUUGCUCCCAGACCGUCAGCGGCGGACGGGUGAGUAACACGUGGGCAACCUGCCUGUAAGACUGGGAUAACUCCGGGAAACCGGUGCUAAUACCGGAUAACUCUUUCCCUCACAUGAGGGAAAGCUGAAAGAUUGCAUCUCGCUAUCUCUUACAGAUGGUCCCGCGGUGCAUUAGCUAGUUUGUGAGGUAACGGUUCACCCAGGCGGCGAUGCGUAGUCGACCUGAGAUGGUUAUCUGCCACAAUAGGACUGAGACACGGCUAUGAUUCGUACGUGAGACAGCAGUAGAGGACCUUCCGAAAAGGACGAAAGUCUGACGAUGCAGCGUCGUGUGAGUGAUAAAGGUGUUCGUAUCGUAAAACCCUGUUGUCAGGGAAGAACGAGUGCCGGAGUAACGGAGGGUACCUUGCGGGUACCUGACUAGGAAGCGACGGCUAACUACGUG